UACGGAGGAUGCAAGCGUUAUCCGGAAUGAUUGGGCGUAAAGCGUCCGCAGGUGGCUAUGUAAGUCUGCUGUUAAAGAGUCUAGCUCAACUAGAUACAAGCAGUGGAAACUACAAGGCUAGAGUACGUUCGGGGCAGAGGGAAUUCCUGGUGUAGCGGUGAAAUGCGUAGAGAUCAGGAAGAACACCGGUGGCGAAGGCGCCGCUCUGGGCCGUUCCUGACACUGAGACGCGAAAGCGUGGGGAGCAAACAGG
RNAcentral lists this ribosomal RNA (253 nucleotides) under uncultured bacterium. Its description in RNAcentral is "partial 16S ribosomal RNA". It matches the Rfam family "Bacterial small subunit ribosomal RNA", at positions 524 to 776 of the family's 1533-position model. The record is from RNAcentral.